This 497-nucleotide ribosomal RNA is filed under the name uncultured bacterium. Its description in RNAcentral is "partial 16S ribosomal RNA". It matches the Rfam family "Bacterial small subunit ribosomal RNA", at positions 28 to 507 of the family's 1533-position model. The record is from RNAcentral.
GAUGAACGCUGGCGGCGUGCCUAAUACAUGCAAGUCGAGCGAACAGACGAGGAGCUUGCUCCUCUUACGUUAGCGGCGGACGGGUGAGUAACACGUGGAUAACCUACCUAUAAGACUGGGAUAACUUCGGGAAACCGGAGCUAAUACCGGAUAAUAUAUUGAACCGCAUGGUUCAAUAGUGAAAGACGGUUUUGCUGUCACUUAUAGAUGGAUCCGCGCCGCAUUAGCUAGUUGGUAAGGUAACGGCUUACCAAGGCAACGAUGCGUAGCCGACCUGAGAGGGUGAUCGGCCACACUGGAACUGAGACACGGUCCAGACUCCUACGGGAGGCAGCAGUAGGGAAUCUUGCGCAAUGGGCGAAAGCCUGACGGAGCAACGCCGCGUGAGUGAUGAAGGUCUUCGGAUCGUAAAACUCUGUUAUUAGGGAAGAACAAAUGUGUAAGUAACUAUGCACGUCUUGACGGUACCUAAUCAGAAAGCCACGGCUAACUACGUG